ACAGUCGCAACUACGUGUAAAUAUCCUUUUACUUUACUGUUAUUUUAUUUCAUUUCACUGUUGUUUUACUAUUUGCAUUAUUGUCUUUAAUAAUUUUAUUACUGUUUGUUUUUUUCCUUUUUACUGUUUCCUUUUUGACUCGCGAGCCACGUGCUUUACGCGUUAUUUGACACUGACAUGUUACCUUAUUCACAGCUGUGAUCCACUGUCACCAAGAUUCUUAAAUGUGAUUUAUCUUUUGUCAAGCACUCACAAAUUGUUUUUGAGAAGUAUCACAAUGGCAGCUACUCCCAAUAGACAAUUCAAGAACAUUUGUGUGCUUUCUGGAUUUACCUAUGGCAAACAUAAAGAGUUCGUGGAGGCAGCCAUAGAUCUUGGUCGAAGCAUAGCAGCGAGAAAAUUACAUUUGGUGUAUGGAGGAGGUAACCGAGGGUUAUCAAAAAUGGUCUCAGAAGCAGCUUUUAUCAGAGGAAGUCAAGUGUUAGGCAUCAUCCCAAGAGUCCUAAAACCAUUGGGCAGUUCGUCUGACUCAUCAACAGGAGAAGAGUUAGUCGUCUCAAGUAUGCAAGAAAGAAUAACUGAAAUGCUUAAUCAUGCUGAUGCUUUUAUUUUCCUUCCAGGAGAUCUUGCAACACUAGAGGCACUUAUGACACUAGCAUCUUGGGCCCAUCUGCACAUCCACCAGAAACCCAUCGGUUUGUUGAAUGUCAAUAACUUUUAUGAUGGCUUUAUCGCAUUUCUUAACCAUGCAAUAAAAAACUAUUUCAUUCCUUCUAAUGUGAAAAAACUCUUUAUUUGUGCUCACACUGCUAAUGAGCUACUUGAUAUGUUACAAGCUUAUAAACCGGAGUCAGACCCCUGGACCUUUGUGUUGGAGCGACCAAAUAAUGAUGGUAACAGUAGCCGCAGUAAGAAGUACAAAUUAGAUUUAACUCUCCGCUUGUAAAUAUUUUCUUCUGUGUUGCACCACCCAGGUGAUGUCUUCUAAACUCUACUUCUUUCCUUUAAAACAUUGAGGACAAUGUUUCGUUCUGGUUGGGGGGAGAGAAUAGUCGACAAUUGUGGAAUCUUGGUUAAGUUUUUACUGAUUUUUUGUUGUAGAAACUAACUGUUGCUAACAUUUUGUGUUGAAGAUGGCUGAAUAUGGAGUGUAGUUACUCUAGAAACGCAUCUUCAUCGUUUAAAAAACAAAAAAAACAAAAAAAAAAUUGUUUUCUUCCUCUUUCUCCUUUAUAAAUAUAUAUUUUCAAAUUUUUGAGUCGAAGAUGGCUGAAUAUGGAGUGUAGUGCCUCUAGAAACGCAUCUUCUUAGUUUAAAAAAAAAAAAUUCUUUUUCUAAUUAAUUUUUCUACAUCAUUUUCACAUUUCUGCAUACAUAUUUUCCUUUCAUGUUUAGAAUAGGUUGGGGGGUAGAAUGUUGUUUAAAAAAAAAAAAUUGUGUUAUUUGUUUUAACAUUGGAUGACAUGAUUAAUUUCAAAUUUUAGUAUUUGUAUUAUCUUUGGUCUUAAGUGAUGUUACGCUAUGUUUGCUACUUUACAUGUUGAUGUCGGAGACAAAUAUGAGUUGCUUGAAGGAAUGAACAUGUCAUAAAUAAGUUCCAAGUGAGUAGUUGAGCCUAUCAUUUUCUUGGAGAGUAACCCUUUUGCCCAUUCUCUAUACAGCUUAGCAGUUUAUUAUUUUAUACACGAUCUCUAGAUUUCUUUUAAGUUAACCCUUUAAAAAAAAAUAUGGUAAAAUUAAAAAAAAAAAGAAAAAAGAAAAAAAUGUGUGUUGCUACAUUGGGGAGGCCCAUCUAACUAGUAGAUAUGGAUAAUUAUUUAGAGCCCUAAAAGACGAUGAAAUGUCAUCUUUGAUCCGUUUGAGCCUUUCUAGCCAUCCAUUUUAUUAAAUAUCCAUAGUUAACCCUUUUGAGCCUUUAAAAAAAAAAAAAAAAAAAAAAGAACAAAAACCUUUUCUUUGUCAACUUAUCAUCUUGACCCACUCCGAUUUGGAGUAUUACCCAAUGUCUUUUAAGUUCCAUCACCUAUUUAUGUUUGAGAAAAUGUAAAUAAUUAUGUUGUUCAGUGAAGUUAUGCCAAAUAAAAGCAAAAAGAAAAAAAAAAACAAAAACAAAGUUGUUGUUUCAAAAGAAUAAAAAUAACAAUAAUAGGUGAAAUCCACCUUGCAAGUUCCAAAAAAAAAAAAAAAAAAAAUUUCUGCAUUUUUCUUCAAACAUACACUUUGUUUUCUUAUUUCCUUUCUUGUUAGCCAUAUCCCUAGCCUACGUUACGUCCUAAUAAAAGUCCUUCUUGAUUUUAGGGAACUAUAGUUUGAAGUAGAAGCUAGUUAUAUGGCUAAAAAAGAUGUAGUGAUGCAUUAAUAAUAAAAAAAAAAAAGAUAAAUAAAGUGGGUUGACUAACAUUUUAUUUGACUUGAGAUCGUAUUAUUUCUAAGCUGAGGCAAAUUUAUUUCAUCUUGGUGAGAGCAUGUGAUAUCAUUUCUUUAUUAUUUCUCUCUCAAUUACCAUUCAUUGGAGUGACUAUGUUUAUUGGGUUUUAAUUUCUUUGUGAGAGUGUCACUACUUCCAGUGAGAUUUUGGGGUUUGACAUGUCAUUCUUGAAAGUAGCUAUAACAAAGUCUACUGGCUAAUUCAUGUGGAUGGUUGAUGUGGGUGUGAUGUUGCUUUAGACUGGAGAUAAUGCUUAUACUUUUAUUUGAUUGCUAUCAUUAAUCUGAUUGAAUAAACACGAGUGUUUCUAAAAAAAAAAAAAAUCAUUUUGAAUUUGAAUUUUGUUUUCGCUUUAUUUGCUAGGGACUAGCAAUAAGCUGGUUGGGGGUGUGUUGAGUGUUAGAAAAUACAUAUUUUAAAGGAGAAACCGUCAUUUUACAUUUCAAGUCUUACUAACACCCUUACUUUUAUGUAUUUAACCUUCUUGUGAUGUAAUUACGUGUGUGUUAUUUUAAUUAAGUAUUUUAUGUAUUUUAGGGGGCAUUAUAGUCAUUUCACAAUAAAGGAGAGAUCAGACGGCAAACGGACAUCACUUUUGAACUCAGGACGGUCGAAAACCUUAAGAGGAGCAUAAAAAGGAAAAAUGGCACUAUUCACAUGUACGGUACUAUUCACGUAUACGGUACUGUCUACGUUACUGUUCACGACACUGUUCACAUAGACGGAUCGAUGACGUGGCAUUGACCGAUGAUGUGGCAUUGACUGAUGAGGUGUCACGAUCCUGUUGGACUAAAAUUCUUAUGUACUUGUUGAUGGUGACGUGGCAGCAUAUCAUGGACGAAAAAUCUCGCGUACGGUACAUGCAUUCACACAGGAUUAUUUUAAACCAAACCGCGUUACUGUUCAUCCGGUGUCAAACCGUGUUACUGUUCAUCCGCGUGGUCAAACCGUGGACUGUUGACUGAUGACGUGGCCAAUCCUGAGCGUCCAAACUGUUUUUACUCCGAUGGCCAUGAUUUACUCCAUGUAUCUAUAAAAAGGGGGUCUCCCCCCUAAUUUGAUAUCUCUGAAUCCAUCUUUGGGAUCCAUUUUCUGUAAUUCCUUCUCCAUCUUGUAUUUUCUUUGUAUUUUAAUAAAUUCCCUUUUUGCCCCUAGUUCAAUUAUGAGUGGCUAAUUUUCUUUCAAGCUUGGGUUGAAGGUGAAGUCUCAACAUGUGUCAUGGGCUUUAUUUGGUAAAUUUAUUUUCUUUUCCCCUCUAGUUUUUGUGGAUGAUUUGACUUAUCGUCGACAAAUAAUACUGAUCUUGUCUAGAUACCCUUGGUUACACCGGCUCUCUAGUAUAAGGUUAUUAUUAUUUGGCACGAUAAGCCCUUAGCACCAUAUUGAUUAGAGCGUGGUUCAUGAUGUGUGGAUUCCCCAUCAUGAUUUAAUUGGCAUUAAUACGGAUUAUUUAGCCCAUAAUGCAUGUUGAUACGGAUCCGAAUACCCAAGUACGUCAUUUCAAAUAGAAUUAUCUUCAAUUUAUUCUCGCCAUUGCCAUUCCAAUUUUUUAGAAUUUAUUCUCGCCAUUUUAAUUUAAGUUUUAGCAUAUUCCAAAUCAUUUCCACCAUAAUCCAACCACCCAUUUUGCAAAAUUAAUUCUACACAUAAUUAAAAUCCACCUCCUCGUGGGAUCGACACUCGUCACCAUUGAUCUAUACUACAAUAGAUUCGUGCGCUUGCGAGUACAUUAAAAUUUACACAACACUUGACUUCAUGAGAUUUCUUAAACUCAACUUAUUAUACUUGAGCUUUUGAUCAUUAUAGAUAUGCCUAUUUUAUUAAUUCAAAUUAAUUGUACUCAUUUUCUUUCCAAAAUAAAUUCUUUGAUAUCUCAUCACUUCAACCAAAAUUUCAUUUUUAACAAUUGCAUAUGCAAUUUGUACAGCUCAAAUUUUUAUUUUUUAAAUGUUUAAGAUAAAACAAUUAUUUAUUUAUUAAUUUAUUAUAUGAUUAUCGCAGGAAUAGUGAAAAUUAAUUUUUAUAUUGAAAUUUUAAGAUUUGCAAAUUAGCAUUUACUUUGAAUCCAAUUCAACUAAGUCACCAUUUAUUUAUCUUUAAUUAAUGCUUUAAGCACAGUAAAUGCAUUUCAAAUUAAACAAUAUUUUGUAUAAAAAAACACAUUAGGAAAUUAAUGCAAUCAAGAAAAAGAAAAUAUAUUAAAACAUUAAUUUUGCUUCCUCAAUUAAGUAUUAAAAGGAAAAUUUUCUCUUACAGAUAAACUCAACCUUAUAAUUUAACAAUAAUGUUGACUACAAUUUUAAAACUAUUUAUUUAUUGCUCCAAAUUGCAAUAGUUUUUUAUGAGUCAUAAAAAUUAAAUUUAUUUAACAUUAUACUUAUAUAGUUGGAUACGUAAUUUAUACCUUAAUUGAUGUUGCCGUAUUUUCAAUUAUUAUAUUUUAGUGAUAGUUUAUUUCAUUGUAUACUAAUAGUGUUAUAAAUUUGUAAUAAUUGAUUAUACAUCAUAUUUUUCAUUGAUUACUACUCGAAUUAUAUAAUAUCUAUUUUAUAAGUGAGUAUUACUCAAAUUAAUAUAUUAUACUUUAAAAUUUUAAUUAUUAUACUUAAAUCAUAUAAUCACAUAUGCAAUUAAACGAAAAUAAUGAAAAGGUCACUUCCCAAGGUUUGGGAAAAUGAUCAUGUAGAUCCCUGAGUUUUCACUAAGAGACACUAAAACCCCUUUUAACUAUAAUGCUUUUUGACUUUAUUAAUUCAAAAAAUUGACUCUAAAGUUUUAUAAUAAGUAGAAAUAUAAUAUUAAAAUAAAUGUAAUAUAUAUAUUUUAAAAUAAUUAAUAUAUAAAAUAUUUUAGUACUUUACAAUCUUAUAUUAUAUUAAACUAAAUUUUUUUAAUAAAUAGGAACAUAAUAUUAAAAAAUAUUUAAAAAUUUAAAUUAUUUUCAAUAUUGUAUACAAAAUACUAUUAAUACAUGAGAUAUAUUUUAUUAAUUAUAAAAUCUAUUUAACCUAAAGAUUUAUUUAAAUUUUUUCUAACAAAUACAAAUAUAUAAUUAAAAUAAAUAUCAUAAUUUACAUUUUAAAAUUAUUUUAUAUAUUAAAAAUAUUUUAAUAUUAUAAAUUUAUUAGACAAAUUAAACUAUUUAAAUUAUAUUUGUACUUAUUAAAAAUCUAAAAGUCAAUUUUUUGAAUCAAUAAAUCCAAAUUGUAUUAUAGUCAAAGGGUCUUAGGGUCCCUCGGUGAAAACAUGGGGUUUAUAUGAUCAUUUUUUCAAAUCUCGGGGGUGUAGGUAUCUUCUUCCCUAAAUUAUUUAAUUCUCAGUGUUGCACUAAAAUUAUAGUUUUCUAGUUACAUUGUUAAUUUAGUUAAGGGUACAAUACAAUGUCAAUAACAAUUAUUGUAAUAAUACCUAAAAAAUUAUGCUUGAUAUUUUUAAAAAUUUAAUUUUUAACAAAUUUUACCUUGUUGACUUGAUUGAGUGGUUUUCAAGCGGGGUUAAAAAAAAAAAUUAAUACACACUUUAGAAAAAUACAUUCAAUUGGACUAUAUAUAUACACAUUAUUAAAACUUUUAUUAUUAUAGAAAAUAAAAUCAUAUAGACUAUACAAGACAUUUCAUUAAAAAUAUAUAAUAUCGUAAAAAAUAUCAUAAGCUGAAUUUAGUUUAAUCAUAAUAAUUACUAUAAUGACAGUUAUUAACAAUAUAAAAAAAAUAAAGAUUAUCCUUUGUUGUUUAGAAAAACGAAAAAUCCUCUCAUGUUUUAAAAUAAGUUCAAAUUCUCCUGCAACUCUAACUGUGUUAGCUUUAUAUAUCAUUGUACUAUUUGACACAUAGUUUUGAUGUUAGCCAUAAAAUUUAAAUAUUUUUAGAGUAUAAAUAAAGUGAAAUGACUUAUAUAACCCUAAUGAUUAAAUAAAUUUAAUAAUAAAUUAUCGAGAAAAAUUACUUCACACACACACACACACAUAUUGUGGAUAUAUAUACCAAAUGUUAUUCCAAUUAAAUGGUAAUUUACAACUAUUAGGGAUAUUUUCCCCACUUGUAAUUUUUCUCUAUAAUUUACAAUUUAUUAUAAAAUAAAAUUUGAUCAUUAAGGAUAUAUAAGUUAUUUUACUUAAUUUGUAUUUUCAAAAUAUUUAAAUUUUAUAGCUAACAGUAAGAUUAAGGGUAGAAUAGUAAAAUUAUAUAUAAAGCUAAUGUUAUUAUAACUUUUGGGGGGGGGGGGGCAGUAGGAGGUAAUUCUCAUUUUCUCUUAACUAUCAUUAAUGAUAGUACUAGUAAUAACUCAAGAUCAAAUAUGUUACAUGCGAUAAUUUAAUAAUGUAGCAAAAUAAAAAAAUUAAACAAAGUAUGCAAUAAUUUAAUUAAUUUGUGAUAAAUUUGUAUGAAGUAAUUUGUGUAAGAGAAACUUUGUGAGUAUAAUCCAAAUAUCAAAUAUAUGGUACAUUAUAUAUGCCUUGUAUACAGUACAAAUUUAUACCAUUAAUAUUAGUCACUAUUUCAACUAAUAUUGAGAAUACCAAUAUUUGAUGAUUAAUAAGGAUAUUUGGUACUAUGAANNNNNNNNNNNNNNNNNNNNNNNNNNNNNNNNNNNNNNNNNNNNNNNNNNNNNNNNNNNNNNNNNNNNNNNNNNNNNNNNNNNNNNNNNNNNNNNNNNNNNNNNNNNNNNNNNNNNNNNNNNNNNNNNNNNNNNNNNNNNNNNNNNNNNNNNNNNNNNNNNNNNNNNNNNNNNNNNNNNNNNNNNNNNNNNNNNNNNNNNNNNNNNNNNNNNNNNNNNNNNNNNNNNNNNNNNNNNNNNNNNNNNNNNNNNNNNNNNNNNNNNNNNNNNNNNNNNNNNNNNNNNNNNNNNNNNNNNNNNNNNNNNNNNNNNNNNNNNNNNNNNNNNNNNNNNNNNNNNNNNNNNNNNNNNNNNNNNNNNNNNNNNNNNNNNNNNNNNNNNNNNNNNNNNNNNNNNNNNNNNNNNNNNNNNNNNNNNNNNNNNNNNNNNNNNNNNNNNNNNNNNNNNNNNNNNNNNNNNNNNNNNNNNNNNNNNNNNNNNNNNNNNNNNNNNNNNNNNNNNNNNNNNNNNNNNNNNNNNNNNNNNNNNNNNNNNNNNNNNNNNNNNNNNNNNNNNNNNNNNNNNNNNNNNNNNNNNNNNNNNNNNNNNNNNNNNNNNNNNNNNNNNNNNNNNNNNNNNNNNNNNNNNNNNNNNNNNNNNNNNNNNNNNNNNNNNNNNNNNNNNNNNNNNNNNNNNNNNNNNNNNNNNNNNNNNNNNNNNNNNNNNNNNNNNNNNNNNNNNNNNNNNNNNNNNNNNNNNNNNNNNNNNNNNNNNNNNNNNNNNNNNNNNNNNNNNNNNNNNNNNNNNNNNNNNNNNNNNNNNNNNNNNNNNNNNNNNNNNNNNNNNNNNNNNNNNNNNNNNNNNNNNNNNNNNNNNNNNNNNNNNNNNNNNNNNNNNNNNNNNNNNNNNNNNNNNNNNNNNNNNNNNNNNNNNNNNNNNNNNNNNNNNNNNNNNNNNNNNNNNNNNNNNNNNNNNNNNNNNNNNNNNNNNNNNNNNNNNNNNNNNNNNNNNNNNNNNNNNNNNNNNNNNNNNNNNNNNNNNNNNNNNNNNNNNNNNNNNNNNNNNNNNNNNNNNNNNNNNNNNNNNNNNNNNNNNNNNNNNNNNNNNNNNNNNNNNNNNNNNNNNNNNNNNNNNNNNNNNNNNNNNNNNNNNNNNNNNNNNNNNNNNNNNNNNNNNNNNNNNNNNNNNNNNNNNNNNNNNNNNNNNNNNNNNNNNNNNNNNNNNNNNNNNNNNNNNNNNNNNNNNNNNNNNNNNNNNNNNNNNNNNNNNNNNNNNNNNNNNNNNNNNNNNNNNNNNNNNNNNNNNNNNNNNNNNNNNNNNNNNNNNNNNNNNNNNNNNNNNNNNNNNNNNNNNNNNNNNNNNNNNNNNNNNNNNNNNNNNNNNNNNNNNNNNNNNNNNNNNNNNNNNNNNNNNNNNNNNNNNNNNNNNNNNNNNNNNNNNNNNNNNNNNNNNNNNNNNNNNNNNNNNNNNNNNNNNNNNNNNNNNNNNNNNNNNNNNNNNNNNNNNNNNNNNNNNNNNNNNNNNNNNNNNNNNNNNNNNNNNNNNNNNNNNNNNNNNNNNNNNNNNNNNNNNNNNNNNNNNNNNNNNNNNNNNNNNNNNNNNNNNNNNNNNNNNNNNNNNNNNNNNNNNNNNNNNNNNNNNNNNNNNNNNNNNNNNNNNNNNNNNNNCUCACAAGUUUUUCCUCUGCUCCUUACACCUUCAAAUUCCCAUCUUUGCAAGCGUUGUGGGUGAUUGGUUGUCCCAAAUUGAAGAUUUUCACUACAGGAGAAUCAAGCACGCCUCCUAGAGUAAAUGUCUGGUAUGGAGAGACAGCGGGUUUUCAACGGCGCUGGGCUAAUAAUGAUCUUAACAGGACCAUACAACAAUUACAUGCUGAGAAGGUACGGAUAUACAUGUUACUCUCUAUCUCCCAUGGAAAAAUUUUACAAAAUUUGCUUUUUCUUUUUAAAUAAAAUAUCGAUAAGAUAUUUGUUAUAAAGUUAGUUUAAAUUAAUGAAUAAGAAUUUUUUUUUCAGCUGUUGGCGGGGUCGUCGUCAUACUCUGUGGAUUACGACUAAUUUCAUAGGCUUCUUAUGACUUGGAGUUACGAAUUUGAAGAAGAAAGUCCCAGCUGGUAAUUAAUUCUUAUUUUAUUUAUUUGAUCUCGUGGGUUGUUUCACAAUUUCAUCUCAAUUGUUUAGAAUGGGUCACUUGGUUUACUGUCAAUAUGGAAUGCACUUUUCAUGAUUCGUUCAGGCUUUUAUGGGAAGAUUUGCGUCAUUGAUUGUCUUUUGGUCUAAUUUAAUUUAAUUUGAGUAUUUUGUUUGAGAAUUCGCUUGUUCUCUAAAAUUUUAUAAUUCCUUGCAAGCAUUUUAUGAUGAAAUUUCAUUAAAAGGGGCAACACUUGCAUGUUGAAUGUCUUCAGAUAUUAUAAUUCCUUGAAAUCAUGCGAACUUUUUUCUUUCUUCUUGCCAAUCAUUUAUUGUCAUCAUUGCUGUUCCGUUAUAUUUGUUUCUGCUCUGUUUGUUCUUUGGAAACUUGGAAGGCAACGAAAGUACUUAAGAAAAUGCUCUUGCCUAUGAACACAUAAUUAAGAAGCUGAAUAUCAUUCAGCGGGUAAAUAUAUAUAUAUAUAUAUAUAAUUAGCCCAUUAUGCCUACAACAAAUCCUUACACCAUCAAAGGUUAGCUUAUGAACAACUAUAUUGUGGAAAUAUUGUUUGAAAGCAUUGGAUAGAAUUUUCAAAAUAUCAAGUUUUCACAAACCAAAAGGGAACUGAUUUGGUCUAGUUUGUGAAAAGUAUAUAAGCACAAUAUUUUGUCUGUUAUUGUAAUAUCCCAAAUCUCCUAAGGGUAUUUAAGUCUUUUUAAUUUUUAGUGAUCCUUUUUACCCUAGUAUAAAUAGAACAAGAUGUCUUUUCAUUAUAAGAGAGAGAGAAAAAGAGAGAUCGGUUGAAAAAGAGAGAUGGAGAGACAAGAGAGAAAAGAAAAGAAAAAAAGAGAAGAAGAAAGUCUUCUUCUUCUUCUUAGUUUUUGCCAUAGACAACACAUGGGAUCAAGUUGUUAUUGUUGGGAGAAGUUUUGGAGGUACGUUUUAAUUAUUGGUUUCUAUUAAAUUGUUGUGGAGAAGCAUGAUUGUAAUAGAAGUUAGAAAUCAAAGAUUUUACAUAAAUAUGCUGACAGCGAAUUAUUACAGAAAUCAUAGUAAUUUGUACAAAUUGAUUUUGAUUCUGAUUUUUGGGUAUGUUAAACUAGACAUCGUCUAGAAUGUUUGAAACUUGUUUCAAGUUAAUCGGAUAAGAUUUCAAUUAAUUAUGAUUUUUCAAAUUCAAGUCUGAAAACCUGGAAUUUAUGAUUUCAGUGAAUAACGUGAAUUACGAAAUUAUUUUUACCAUAGUUAGACUUCUUCAAAAUUAUGAAAUUUGGACCAAUGCUUUUUAUAUAUGUCUAGUAUGAUUCUGGAAAUUUUCAUGAUUUUAUGAUAAGCAAUAAAUUGUUUUGUAUUUGUAAAAGCAAGUGUGUUCAAAACAGAAAAUGUUUGACAGUAUUGAUGAUGUCUGAAACGUGAAUUAUUUUCAAUAGUUUUUGAAGGAAUUAUGUUACGAAUUAUGCUAAUCUUCUCUGUAUCGUUCCAAUUUUAUCGGAUGGGAAUCGGUCUGAUACCAUUUGAAACACCCCAGUCUGAAAUCCAAGGGCAAAUAUGUCUACAACUCACAUAUAAUUUAAAUAACUCUUUACAACUGAUAAAGAGUAUUUGUAAAGAUUUAUGUUUUGAGGGCCGAUUAUUGAGGACAUUUGAGGUUGAGCUUAGGAGUUGUUUAAAUUGAGAUAUUUGAGGACAUUACAGUUUGUGAUUGAGAUUUGAUUAUAUCUUAUGAGGCGUUAUUGAUGAUUUUAGGUUAAUGGUAUCAGUACGCAUUUGUUACAUGAGGAUGCCAAGAGGUAAGUAAACUAGACUUUAAAACGAAUCACACUAAACAAUAUAUAUGUUUGACUUGUGUGAAAAGCAUAUUUUGAUAUAUAUACGGAUAUGGAUUUAGAUGUCUUUGCCCAUGUGUUUAUGUGAUGUGUUGGCAUGUGUUGAGCGUGAUUAUGUACAUGGGCAUAUGUAUGUGUGAUGGUUCAUUGGCAUGAGCACGAAAAUGCAUUGAGUUUUCUACGAAUGAGAAAGUGGAUUUUAGCAAACAGAAUUUAUGUUUUAUGAGAUUUUGCAUUGGGGGCCACCUCUUGAAGUUGUGUGGGGGUCACCUCUUGGGACUAUGCGGGGGCCACCUCUUGAGGGCCAGGGCGCCGCAAAGUGCCACGUACAGCACAAAGUGCCACAUUGUAGGAUACGUAUUUCAUCGAAAGAAAAUAAGAAAGUUUGAAAGCGACAGAAAGAGAUUUUUAUGAAUUUAUUUUACAGUAUUUCCAAAAGAUCAUGACAUAUCAACCAUUGCAUUAUGUAUAAGUCUGUAUGUAUUUUCCGUAUAAGAAAAACUAGUUUGCUUACUGGGUUUUGUACUCAUUAUAGUUUAUUGUGAUUCAAUUUUCAGAAGUCAGGAUUGAUUCGUGAUGAGUGAGAAGAUGUUUUGAAUUGAGGAUAGUAGAUGGUUUGGUUAAGUUUUUAAGUUAUUCCGCUGGCUUUUGUAUUUGAGGCUCGAAUUUUAUCAGUUGUAAAGAGUUAUUUAAAUCAUAUGUGAGUUGUGGACAUAUUUGCCCUUGGAUUUCGGACUGGGGUGUUUCAAAUGGUAUCAGAGCAAUUCCCAUCCAAUAAAAUUGGAACGAUACAGAGAAGAUUAGCAUAAUUCAUAACAUAAUUCCUUCAAAAACUAUUGAAAAUAAUUCACGUUUCAGACAUCAUCAAUACUGUCAAACAGUUUUCUGUUUUGAACACACUUGCUUUACAAAUACAAAACAAUUUAUUGCUUUAUCAUAAAAUCAUGAAAUUUCCAGAAUCAUACUAGACAUAUAUAAAAGCAUUGGUCCAAAUUUCAUAAUUUUUGAAGAAGUCUAACUAUGGUAAAAAUAAUUUCGUAAUUCACGUUAUUCACUGAAAUCAUAAAUUUCCAGGUUUUCAGACUUGAAUUUGAAAAUCAUAAUUAAUUGAAAUCUUAUCCGAUUAACUUGAAACAAGUUUCAAAACAUUCUAGACGAUGUCUAGUUUAACAUACCCAAAAAUCAGAAUCAAAAUCAAUUUGUACAAAUUACUAUGAUUUCUGUAAUAAUUCGCUGUCAGCAUAUUUAUGUAAAAUCUUUGAUUUCUACUUCUAUUACAAUCAUGCUUCUCCACAACAAUUUAAUAGAAACCAAUAAUUAAAACGUACCUCCAAAACUUCUCCCAACAAUAACAACUUGAUCCCAUGUGUUGUCUAUGGCAAAAACUAAGAAGAAGAAGAAGACUUUCUUCUUCUCUUUUUUUCUUUUCUUUUCUCUCUUGUCUCUCCAUCUCUCUUUUUCAACCGAUCUCUCUUUUUCUCUCUCUCUUAUAAUGAAAAAGACAUCUUGUUCUAUUUAUACUAGGGUAAAAAGGAUCACUAAAAAUUAAAAAGACUUAAAUACCCUUAGGAGAUUUGGGAUAUUACAGUUAUUCUUGUUAAAAUUCUCAGCACUAUGUUUGCAGAAUGUUUGGAUAUUGAUGGAGAUUCAAGUCACUCUUCUUCUGUGCAACAUUUGAAAUGAAGCCUUUUUUUUCCCCCUUUAUUCAAAUUUUAUGUUGUGAGGGGUUCCGUUUCCAUCUUCAUGUGAUUUACUUCAUCGUGUCGCUACAUAUAUGAUAGUGUGUGUCAUUUCCUGUCUGUUUCCUUUGUUUGACCAUCGGAAGUUCAAAGACAGUUUAUUCUAAAUGUGUGUAAAUUCAUUUUCUGUAUAAGCUCUUUGUAUGCAUUUUGACAUUUUAUUCUCAAUAUGUAUGACUCAAUGAGAGGUCUAUUGUUAUAUAUACGUCACGAAUUUCUUGUGUAUUUUUAGAUUUGAUGAUGUAUUAUUGCCUCAUUGCAAGGUCUUAUAAUCACUCUGAUUCUUAUUUCUUGUAUAUAUAUGUAUAUAUGCGCAAGAAAUUUGAUAAAUGAUCUCGUCAUUUUCUCAGCUAAACAUCUAGUACUUUAUAUGUUGGAAGGGUACUAAGCAGCAGGCCAAGAUUUAUCAACUCAAAGAUCGUCAUCUCACUUUUUGAAAGUUGACUAAAAAUUAUUCCUAAAAGUAGCAAAAGUUGGUGGAUUAUUGUGGUUUUCCUACUUUAUCGUUUUUGGUUGAAUAAAUUAAUAUAAAGCUGUCGAUUCUGCAUUAAAGCUUAUGAAUUGUGAAGAUAUGAAUACCAAAUCUUUCCAACUCCAACUCUUGAGUAAUUAUUAGGUUCCCACCCAUGCAAACAUAUUUUCUUUCGAGAAAAAGGGAUGCCUGAUUCAGGGUAUCCGUUGCCUCGGUUUAUUUGAUUUUGUUUGGUUCAAUUGUGGUUCUGUUAUUUAGUUUUUCCUCUGAUGGUUCUGUUUCUCUGUAUAUUUCACUGGGUUUGCUUUGCUUCACAUCUUUCUUUCAAAACUAAGAAGGCAAGGAAAGAGAGUACUUAAUUAGAAAAUGCAAGAAGCAUAUAUGAAACCAUGAAUAUGCUCAUGCUCUUGCCUGUGAACACAUAAAGAACAACUGAAUAUCCUUCGUCGGAUAACAAAAAACAAAAUCUAAUCAUCCAUUAUCCGUACAAGAAAUGAUACCAUUACUUUUAGCAAAUUGAAGGUGUUGUAUCUUUUUUAUUUAAAAAGUCUCUUAAGAUUUUUACUUUUCCGGUUAUUACACCUCCAAAUUUCCACAGCUAUAAUGUCAAUUCGUAAUUAUUUGUCCCAAGAUGAAGAUUUUCACUGGAGGAGAAUUAAUAAUUACGCUAUUUCGGCCCAGAGGACCAUGAAGCCCCUUGGGUUGUUGGCAUUAACACCAGUGCGUUUACCAACCCAAACCUUCUGUUUGGUCAACAGCGUCUAAAUUGAACCUAUAGUGAAUGGAGGAAAAAGAAAAAAAGGAUUUAUCAGAAACCUGCCGGUUCGGUGUAUUCUCAGUUUGAUAGAUUGUAUUUGUAUAUUUUCAAAUACCUCCCCUGGUGCUAGCAUACCUUUUCUUAAUACCCCUAAUUUAGAAAAAAAAAUAAUAAUUUGUAUACUGAAAAUAAAAUAUUGUUGGUUAGUACCAGCUUAUUUGUCUUAAAAAUAAUAAUUUGUACACUAAAAAUAAAAAAUUGUUGGUUAGUACCAGCAUGUUUGUUUUGGUGCCAACGGAUGUGAAUACAAUGAAAAUAUCAAAUCACGCCUGCUACUUUCCAAAAUGACUUUGAUGAAUGAAACAAACAAAAGAUUUAAGUCAAAUAUCAGAGAAUCAGAAGGAAGCUAUUUUGCACUGGCCUAAUUGCUAUGCUUUCUGCAUCAAAUUUCGUUCAAUCUUGGUGAAGAUCUUGGUGUCCUUCUUUUAUUCAAUAUAAGAAGAGUGAAAAAAAAAAUUGUUUGUUUUUUACACAAGUGAUAGAAAUACUUUUCAACUUUAGACAGUGUAACACUAUACACAUCAAAGAAAUAAGAUAAUGAACCAUUUCCCAUACAUAAAGCAAACAAAAUUAGUAUUUAGUACAGGAGAUGCAACAAAAUUUUAAAUUUUAUUCCUCAAGGGCUACAAGUGAUACAAAUGAGUACACAAAUCAACCAUCUCUAGCUUAACAAAAAGAUGAUGCGAAUGCAUAAACAUGCAAAAAGUCUACGAAUCUUAUACAUGGUAACUAUGACUAAGUAAAAUAACAAUUCUGAUUGAUAAUACCACCAGCAACAGGACCUUCAUACCUUCUCUUUAUUAAUCACUAGUUGGUAUGCUGUAGCUCAGCCAAGUGUCAAAUGAAUGGCAAUCAAACUCUCGAGCCUCUGUAUACCCUCCAUAAGUUGUCUCCAACUACAUCAAGGACUGCAAUUAUUUUAAGCAAUAGAAAAAUAAUCGUGAUACAAUGAGUAACAUAUAGAGCAUGCACCUGCUUUAUACAUAUCCAAGAGUCUGAAGAUAGGUACAUGGAGCUUGAUUUGCAGAAUGAUCUAUCAAGAAAGCCUCAAUGCAAAAUCUUCAUCCCUAUUCCAAACAAAACCGGGCAUAUCGAUCCUCCGCCCAGCGACAAUCCCAUAUAUGUAAAGCUUCUCAACAGGGAGCUCCGGCCUUGAAUCUGGGGGUCCCUUCUCUUCAAUAACUUGAACAUUCAGCGUGAUUAUCCAAAGACACUUCAAUUUUCAUUUAUAACUCAAACAAGUAAGACAGGGCUUAUCUAAAGACACUGCAAUUUUGGACAUUGGCUAACAAGCUUGAUUAGGUCAGGACUUUGUAUAGUGGCAUAGCUCAGAUUCAAGGUUGUUAGGCUAGAGCAAACGGAAUUGACAGAUCACACUAUUUGAGACCAUAAUCAGGUUGCAUCUACGACUAAUUUUCCAAAAUUAUACCAAUCUCUAUUCCAGUACAUUGCUAAUCAAUGUUCCUGAUUAAUACGAGCAGCAAUGACUAUAUAAACAAUUAUCUCCAGCGAACCAGGUAUGUCAGAAGCCAAAUCUAUAGUAGAGAAGGUUUGGUAGAUCUCUUAAAAAAUAAUCUCAUCUUUAAUUUAAUAAAAACUAGCAUGAAUCCCUGUUCAAUAAUCAGAAUCAGUACCUUAAACAAAUAAAAAAAUUUCAGAGGCAUUUUCAAUGAGUCACAUGGCAGCAUAACAAAUAACAAGUCAUUUUCAAUCAAUCACAAGCGAACAUGCGUUUGCAACAAUCAUUCACCUACAACUAACAUUAAUCGAUGGAAAAAAAUUUAAGCAACAGAAAUACUCAAAAAAUUUUCGAGACCCAUUAUUCUUUUUUUUAAUCAAAUCUCCUUACAAAACUGACACGCACGGAAAUAAUCUUAUUCAUACCUCAUUCGCGGCUCGAAAACACUGGGAUUGUUUGUGGGUCGACGGCGAAAGUCACUGGUCGGUAUUCUUCCACAUCGCCGGCGUGAAUCAGUCAUCUCAGGUAUUUCUGUCUUCGGAUUCAGUGUCAUGGUCUCCCGUUCGUAAGCAAGUUUUUUAAUCAAAGCAUUAGAGAGAAGAUGAAAGGGAUAUUGCGUUUCAUGGCUUCAGUUCGAAUGGAGGAAAGAGAUGACCAUUUUUCCUUUUCUUUUUUUGUGGGCAUUACACAUUACAAAGUUGAGACCAAUUUCAGAACACAACUUAAAAAUUAGGUAAUGUUUAGGGAUUUCCCCUGAGAUUUUGUGUAUUGACAGUCUCAUGAAAAAUAUUCACGUAAUUACAGGGAGCUGCUUGACAUAACUGACGUUAGUAUGCCAUUUCAUAUAUGUUAGUAUAUGAGGGUAAAUUAGUAGUUUCAUAAUAAAAAUCAAAGAAAAAUAAAAAAAAUUCCAAAGUUGUGUCGAUGACCCAAAUUUAGGCACUGACAAUCAAUUUAUUACCCACAAUGCAAAUUAUCUUCAAUUUAUCUAAGAUGAAUGAAAACUCCAUUUUCUCUCUCAUGAAAUGAAACUCUCAGCCAUUUUCAAGCUUGAAAAGCUCUGAAGAAACUUUUGUAACUAUAAAAUCCCUGCUGCCUUCAAGUAAUUUUAAGCUGAGUAUGAACAUGACAAGCUGCAAUGGUGGCAAAAGGGUGUCGCCAAGCGAAUUUCGUCGGCGGCUACUGUUUAAGACUACUAGAAUUGGAACCUAAAAACGGUUAGUUUCCCAAAAAAAAAACUUGCAUGUUGGACUCAAUGUUUUUUUUUUCUUUUUAUUGUUGUGAUGAUGAAGAAUGAUAAAAAUGUGUUGAAGAAGAUGCUGAAUGAGUUAUAUUGAACAAAAAAGAAAUUGGGUUUUUUUUUUCUAUUUUAGUUGAUUUCAAACUUAAAUGAAUUGAAAUCUUUGAUUUAUUAACUUGUUAUUUUAGAUUCAAAAGGUUGGUUUGGUGGUGUUGUGGUCUGGGGAUGAUAAUUGAUUUUUGUUUGUCUUGAAAUUGACAUGGCAGGUACCAUUACCCAUUGAUCCAGGCUUUUACUGUGGCAGUAGCAUUCGUUCUUAUGCUCUGGUCUGCCUUCUUCAUAUGGCUUGUCUCCUGAAAAAAGAAGACUCAUUUCUUUUCUUCCUUGGCUUCAAUUGAAACGAUUAAGGAAUAUUUUUCCAAUUCCAACAUCUGAAUAUUAUAAAUUCCUAGCUUUACACUUACUUUCAUAAUGAAUGAACCAUUGUUCAUUUACUAUCAUUGAAUUUGAAGCUAACACUGCCAGAAAGUAAAGCAAGCAUCAUGAUUCAUAAAUCGCUCAUUAUCUUUCUAAUAGCUAUGGGGAAGGAGUAUCUUAGCCAUGUCAGUUCAAUUUCCUGUUUGUUCUUAUAUUUCAUUAGCAGGUGUGCGUAUGUGAUUCUAUUGUGCGGGUUGUGUAUUUUGAAUGCUUUGAAGAGUGAAUCAUGGUUUAUUGUCUUAUUGAAGUAGUUUACUAAUGGUGAUAUUUUAAUUUGACGACGGUUGUAUUUAUAGCCACUGCUGCUGUAAAUAUUCUAUACGUUGACAAUUUUGUUGAUUUUCUUAAUUUAUAUUUUACUUUUUUUUUUUAUAUUAUGUAAAUGUCAAUGAUUUUUUUCCAUGAUUAUUAUAGACUUUUUAGUGCUCCAAUGUGGUGUUUACUAUUUAACUCCAAAUUGUUGCACUCAUUUUUGUAGCCAAUGGCAUUUUUGACUUUUUAUCAGUCCACUAACAGUCAAGUUAACUGUGUACUAACGUCAGGGGAGGUUCUUAUAAUUACAUGAAUACUUUCUAUGAGACUUUUAAUACACCGAACCUCAGGGGAGGUCCCGAAAAAUUACCCCUUGAAAAUUUCAAGUUUACUUGAAUUUUUUUAUCAUUAAUGUGUACUUUUAUGAUUUUAUCCUCACCAACUUAAUUUAUACGAAGUGGUAAACUAAAAGGUAUUUGAGAAUACGCGAAUACAAUCUAUCAAACUAAAAACAUGCUAAAUCUCAGUGGAGGUUUGUGAUAAUUAACCAAUGGAAAAAACAUGUAAAUAAGAAACCCAACUUACGAAAAUGCUAGAUUGGGCAGGCUUUAUUGUGAGAAAUGUACCUAAAAUAAUAUUUCUGUAUGUGUACCCAGAAAAUAUAUAAAGGAACGACCUAUAUAAUAUUUUUGUUGAAAUGUUAUACCCUAUGAUUACAGAAUGCUUGAGUUCUAAAGAAGAUUCAAGUCAUUCCUCAGGUGCAGCAUUCGAAAUAAGGCCAUUGCCCUUGUGAAAUUUGCAUUACUUCUAUUGAAAAUCUACAUAAUGAGAGCUCUCCCGUUACAUUUUUCGUUGUUUUGCUUGUGCUUUACUUCAAUGUGUCGCCACAUGAACAAGUAUAUUGCAACAUAUGUACCAUCAAUUUUGCUAUGUCAUAUUCCCUAAUAUUAUAUAAUACAGAUGAUUUUGAAAUUAUAAUAACAACAAUGGGGUCAAGCACAUUUUGUGUCUUGAAGAUUUGCGAGAGCUCCAUCCUACAAAGUUAAUAUAUUAUUAUUAUUAUUGAUGAUGAUGACAUUGUUGUUAUUAUUAUUAUUUGAGAGAUGGUAGAAUAAAGUUGUUCAUUUUGAAGUUUAACAGUGGAAAAUAAGAAAAACAAGAAAAAGUUUUUUUUUGUUAUUUUAGGUUUCUAAAAAUAUUUUUGCUCCGUUUGUUCUGUUUUCUUUGCUGGGAUUUGAGAUAAAAAAAAAUUAUCUCAAAUAAUAUAAUAUUCAUCAAUUGGUUGGAGAGAUAAUAUAAUUAAUUCACUUAGAUCUUGAAAGAAUUACCAAGCACUCAAUUAAUAACACAUUAUCUAGGAUUAAAUUUGAGAGAAAAAAUUUGGAAUGUCUAUCUUUACUCUAAUUUAAUUGAAAAUAAGCCUAUCAUUGGAUGAUCAAUUAUAGUUUGCUUAAUACUAAAAUGUCACCCGUAAGUUUGUUCUCGAUUUGUAAUUGAUUUAUCUUAAUUCAUCAACUCGACAAAGGUUCGUUCAUCUUGUUCUUGUACACUUAAAAGUCAUGAAGAUCAAAACCAAAUCUGUAGUUACAUUUUCUUGAAAAAUAAUUUUAGGCAAUAGGUUCUCGUGUUUAAGCGAUAUUUUUAAAGGGUUAUGAUAGUAGUGGAGCACUAAUGCACUUCAUAACUAUCAGAUGGAUUGUUGAAAAAAAUAAAAAAUGUUCGUAUAUUUUUUUAAUAUUUUGUAUAAUGGCUAAAAGAUCAGAUAGUUUACAGAUAAUUUUUUAUCCUUUUUUUUAUUUUCAUCAUGUUUGAAAGACAUCCUCUUUGGAAGUCAAGGUAAAAAUAACAAUUUUAUCCUUACAACGUCAAGAAAAUUCUAACAAAAUUUAGAUGACAGUGAACAAUUGAAACACUUUGUAAAUUUCAGGUGGAUUUCUGCAAAGAAAAAAGUGUUUGUAUAUUUUUUAAAACGUCCAAAAGAUCACAUGAUCGGUGGAUAAUUGCCUAUUUAUUAUUAACAAUAAAAAUUUUUCAAUAUUAAUUGUUGUUGUUGUUAUUAUUAUUAUUAUUAUAUGACAAAUGUUAUAAUAAAUAAUAAUUAUCAUAAUACAAAAUCAAAGGCAUAUUAGUAAUUUGUAACAACUCAUCGCAAUUUUAAGAUAAAACAAAUACAUCAAUAACAAUAUAAUUUAUUAUGAUUCUAAUUUCUCAAUUUAAAUAAAUUAAUUAAUCUAAUCGUCAUUCCAUAUUUUAAUUCCAAGUCAUACCAUUCCAAUCCAUUCAUAUUUUAACCUAUUUCGAUUAUUAAUUGAUAAAGGGACGGUCAGUAUAUCAACUACCCAGAGUAACGCCUGAAAGACACUGAGGCAAGGGCCGCAGGCUGACAUUUAGCGUUGAUGUCCAGUUUCUUUAGCAUUUUGAAUUCAUAAACGAAAUUACAGUGGUUCUUCAUCCAUUGGCCAUUCCGCUUGUUAAUUAUAAUAGACCUGACAACAAUUUAUACGAAUUCUGCCAAUUGUUCACGCGCAACUAUUUUAAUCGAAAAUAUAAUAUGGCUCCAUAAACAAUGAUUAUCUCUCGACAGUUGUUCUGCACUCCCUAAUUUAAUUGAAAAAGACUUGAUGAUUAUUUAAUUGGAAAUAUUUUUUUUUUGGGCUCUGCUUGGUUUAGUAAUUUGUCUUUUAUAUUUGACUGACUCGACAAAGAGUUGAUUAUCUCGUUUUGACAAACUUAAAUUACAGAGAUGGAAACCAGAUCUGUCAUACAUUAAAAUAAUCAAACCACUUUCUCUUUUUCACCUAUUUUCACGGAGAAAAAAUGCUAAAGAAACUGGAAGAAUGCUAAAUUCAUUUAGGUAGACUUAGUGAAGGAAAAUUCAAAGGUGGAAAGUGUACAGAGAGAGGAAGCGCGUGUUUAGAGAGAGAGGUCUCAAAUAUAUAAGUUGGAUUUCUCAUAAAAGGUAGUAAGGUUUCUAUAAUUCUAUUUCUAUUUAUGCUGAAUUUCAUGGGGACGAAGUUAAUUUAGAGAUUUGUAUACUUUAUUUAUCGUUAAGUUUUCCAAAAAAGGGGUAAAGUUGCGCCUAAGCUAAUUUUUAUAAUUGGUUGAUUAUUUCAGAAGCACAAGGGUAUCAACAAGGAAUUGUAGAGCCGGAUACGUGUAGCUUUCAUUGUUUUCCUGGUUCAGUAUGUAUAUAGUUAUAUGUAUGUGUUAUGCUUAGUUUAUGUUUAGGUAGAUUAUGGUUGGUGAUGAUAUUGUUAAUAAUAUGGAUGAUUUGUUAUAUAUGAAAAUUAAGUUAUUGAGGGUGAAACAUGAAACCAAAUCCGAUCUGUCAUUGCAUCUGCUUGAAAAAUAAUUUUACUAACAAUAGAUCCUCCUGUUUUGACAACUUUCAAUGUGGUUUAGUUACAUGUAUUUAGAACAUAAAUAAUUGUUAUGACUUUAGAAAAUUUUGUUGUUUGUAAUUUAUAUUUGAAAUUUUGUUAACAAUUGUUUGGCAGGAAUAUUUUUAUUUAAGAAAAAGAGUGAUCUCAUUAAUGAGCUGGUUUAGAUAACACAGAUGAAAAUAAUAAAUUGAUUCAUAAUUAAGUCAAUUACUUAAUUAAAAUGUACCUCAAUAUUUUUUUGGUAAUGUUGUAUCUUUUACAAUAAUUUCUGGUAGUUAUGUUGUGGAAAUAAUCACUGUAAAGAUAAUCAGUUAAACAUUUAGGAAAAUUUACUUCUAAAAGUGCUAUUAAUGUAAAUGACUGAAUUGAACAUAAUGCUAAACAAAAUUUAUUUAUACAUUUAUAAACAUGUAUAUAACAUAUUUUUUUUAUCUUGUAUAUAUAAUAAUUGAUAACAGAAAUAACUAUUUUAUAUUAUUAAUUUUAUUUUUAUUUUGUUAUCUCAAUGUAAUUGUUAAAAUAUCUUUAAAAUUAAUAAUUUUAUUUCCUAAAUAAUAAGGAUAAUUUUUUAUUUUUAUAAUAUAUAUAAGGUUGUAUAUAGAAUUAUAUUAAGUAUAAAACUGGUUAUCAAAAUUAGAUUUUGACAAACUAUUCCUUUUUUACUUUCCGAAAUUUGUUGUGGGAUAAGUGAUUUUACCAAAGGCGAUUUUUAAAAAUUUUACCAAAUACCAAAAUUAACAUUUAACUUUAAAAAAUAAAUUUUGAGCCUUUAAAAAUAAUCUCAAACAGACCUAUAAUAUAUGUUUGAUUUUUUUUUUAAUUUUAUAUUUUAUGACAUAAAAAUAUAAUUUUUAUCAUUGAAAAACUAAUGACAGAGAUCUUUUGAAUAAUUUAAAAAAAGAAACUCAGAGCUCAAGAUAGUGCUGUAAUUGGUUGAAGAAGAAGGCUAAAACUUGAUGACAAAUUUAUUAUACUAGUUUUAAGGUUUUAUAUUACUCUGCCCAAUCUCAAUACAUUAUUAGCUCAUGUAUGAGUGAAAGUUGCUGGUUCUUAUUUUAGUAAUUUCUCUUUCUAUUUGCUUGACUCGACAAAGAGUUGGUUCACCUCGUACUCAUACACUUAAAUUACAAACAUGGAAACUAGAUCUGUCGUUUCGUUAAUUGGCCUCAUAAAUUAAUCAAUCACACCUUCUUAUUAAUUUACCAUUACUCUUUUCAUUCCCUUAUUUUUAUCUAACCAUUUAGGAUAGGAUUUAAAUUCAGUACCUAAUUAUUUUUUUAAUAGUUUUAAAAAACUAUAAUUAAUAGUUAUUGAAUAAAAAUAUAAAAUUAAUUAUAUUAUUUGUCAUACGCGUGUGACAAUAGGUUAAGAAAAAUUUAUUUACGUUUGCUCACUCCACAGUCUUAUUAGCUCCCCCACUCUCUUAAUCAUUUCUUAUUCUGUACUUAAUUACAUUAUGUGACAUCUUUGUCACUUCUUUACAUUCAUUCUUAAUCUAAAUAGAAACCCUUUUCUUGCUUCCUUCUUCUCAUUCGAAAAACACUUUGCUUCUGUUUGUUUGUUAGUUAUUUUUAGCUCCAUAACUGCUUGUCGUAUCGUUGUCUCUCUGUUCUUACUGUCCUUUGGCCUUCUUCAUUUCUACAUUGUUGUCAGGAUUCAAGAUGCUGGAAAUCAUUGUUACUCUCGUUUUGGAACUUGUAAAAUGCUUGGCUCCUCCAACAGAACGCAAACUUGUUUAUUUGCGCAAGCGGAACUACAAUGCCAACCUUGAGAAUCUCAAGACGGAAAUGGAGAAGUUGAAGGUUGAACGUACGAGCAUUCAGCGCAGAGUUUCAGAGGCGAAAGAAAAAGGGGAAGAGAUUGAAGAGAAGGUUGAGAAGUGGCUGGUUACUGCGAACAGCAUCGUUGACCGGGCAGCCAAAUUCAUUGAAGAUGAAGAGUCAACAAAUAAGCGCUGUCUCAAGGGCUUGUGUCCUAAUUUGAAGACCCGCUAUCAGCUUAGCAAGAAAGCAGAGACAGAGGUGAAGGCCCUUGUUGAACUUGGAGAAGAAGUUAAGAAGUUUGAUAUCGUUUCCCACCGUACCACUCCGGAGGAGAUAUGGCUUAAGUCGAACAAAGGUUACGAGGCCUUCGAAUCAAGAGUUUCUACUUUGAAGUCUAUACAAAAUGCGUUGACUGAUGUGAAUGUCAGCAUUAUUGGGGUGUACGGCAUGGGCGGCAUUGGAAAGACGACACUGGUGAAGGAGUUUGCUAGGCAAGCCAGGGAAGACAAGCUGUUUGAUCGGGUGGUUUUUUCAGAGGUUUCACAAACUCCAGACAUAAAAAAGAUUCAAGGGGAAAUUGCAGAGAAGUUAGGUCUGGAGUUGUCCGAUGAAGCUGAAUAUAGAAGAGCUAGCAGGCUGUAUGAACGACUGAAGAAUGAGAAUAAGAUUCUUGUGAUUCUAGAUAAUAUCUGGAAACAUGUUGAUUUGGAGACGGUUGGAAUUCCCUUCGGAAAUGAUCAUAAAGGAUGUAGACUACUGCUGACAGCAAGAGACAAUAAUGUGCUAUUAAGUAUGGGCUCCAAAGAUAACUUCUUGAUUGGCAAUCUAAAUGAAGAAGAAGCUUGGAGAUUGUUUAAGAUAAUGAAUAGUGAUGAUCUUGAAAAUUGUAAGUUCAAGUCUACAGCAAUUAAUGUAGCCCAGGCAUGUGGAGGUUUGCCCAUUGCCUUGACUACAGUAGCGAGGGCACUGAGAAACAAGAGUCUGCAUGAGUGGAAGAAUGCCUUGCGAGAACUCCAAACGCCUUCAGUGGUAAACUUCGAAGGUGUGCCUGCAGAGACUUAUUCAAGUAUUGAACUGAGUUUCAAGUAUUUAAAAGGUGAGCAACUCAAGAAAAUUUUUCUGCUCUGCAGUCUAAUAGGUAACAGUUUUUGGUUUACAGACUUGUUUAAAUACUCCAUGGGUUUGGGCAUAUUUCAAGGAGUCAACAGGAUGGUAGAUGCACGAAACAAAUUAUAUGCAUUGGUCCAUGAACUUAGAGACUCUUGUUUAUUGCUUGAGGGUGAUAGCAGUGAACAAUUUUCCAUGCAUGAUGUUGUCUACGAUGUUGUCGUAUCAAUUGCAUGUCGAGACCAACAUGUUUUCUUGGUGAGAAAUGAGGUUGUGUGGGAGUGGCCUGAUGAGGAUGCACUUAAAAAAUGCUCUGCAAUCUCUUUAUUAAAUAGUAGCAUUCAUGAAGUUUCUGAGGAAUUUGAAUGUCUGCAACUUGAAUUUUUACAUAUUUCCCAAAACACUUUUGUUGAGGUCAAUAUUCCUGACAACAUUUUCAAAGGGAUGAAAAAGCUUCGAGUUAUAGAUUUGACACGAAUGCGAUUAUUUUCAUUGCCAUCUUCAAUCGGUCUUCUAGCAAAUCUUCAAACACUCUGUCUAGAUCAAAGCAUGUUGGGAGACAUAGCCAUAAUUGGAAAGUUGAAGAAUCUAGAAAUCCUUAGCUUUUUAAAUUCUGAUAUUGUACGGUUGCCUGGCGAACUAGGUCAACUGACUAAGUUAAGGCUGUUAGAUUUAACAGAUUGUUUGCAACUAAAAUUUAUUGUGCCCAACGUCUUAUCAAGCUUCACUCGAUUGGAAGAACUGUAUAUGGGUAAUUCCCCUGUUGAAUGGGAAGUUGAAAAGGCCAAUAGUGAAAGAAGUAAUGCCACCCUCGACGAAUUGAUGCAUUUGAGGCGAUUGACCACUUUAGAAAUAGAUGUUAAAAAUGAUAGCAUUUUACCGGAUGGGUUUUUUUCCAAAAAGCUGGAAAGGUUUGAUAUAUCAAUAGGAGAUGCAUCAUUCGACUCUACCCUGGUUAUUGAGAAUGAUUGGUUUGAAAGUCGGCAGCACUUUAUGAUCAGUAAUCAUGAGAGUUUAAGAACAUUGAAGCUCAAGCUUGAUUCUAUGGCCAUUUGCUCCGAGAAGUUGCAGCUCAUCAAUAACGUUGAAUACUUAUGUUUGGAUAAGUUGCAAGGAAUCAAGAAUGUUGUUUUAGAAUUGGACACUGAGGGCUUUUCACAAUUGAAGCAUCUCCUUGUUCAAAAUAAUCCAGACUUCCUGUGUAUCGUCGAUUCAAUGGAGAGAGAACCAUGUGUCGCCUUUCCUCUUUUGGAGUCCCUUACUCUUCACAAUUUGAUCAAUACGGAGAGGAUAUGUAUUGAUCGACUCAAAAUAGAGUCCUUCAAUGAACUCAAAACCAUAAAAGUAGAAAAUUGUGAUGAGUUGAGUAAUAUCUUCUGGCUCUCUAGUAGUACAAAAUGCCUUCCAAGACUGGAGAGGAUUGCAGUUAUCAAUUGCAGCAGCAUGGAAGAGAUUUUUGCAACUGGAGGAGAAGCUGAUGUUGAUGUUGAUGAGAAGAUAGAGUUUGGUCAAUUAAGAUCUUUGAGUCUGGGAAAGCUUCCAAAGGUUACAAGGUUUUGCGGUGAAGUGAAGACUCCUUCCACAUCACCAAACAGACAAGAGUCGCAAGAGGAAUUGACAGCCAGUUCCAACGAGAUCAGUUCGGAAACGUCAACUCUGCUUUUCAACGAGAAGGUACGUAGGCUAAUGCUUCUUUUUUUUUCUUUAGUUCUAUCAUGCACUCUAAUUUGCAAAAAAAAAAAAAAAGUCUCAUACACUCGCUAAUUAAGCUCUUAAUUAAGUGCUUCUUAUAUGGAUAUUGUGUCAAAACAAGUGCUUUCCAUACGGAUAUUGGAUCUAAAGAGAAAAUUAUCUUUAGGUAGUGUUGCCAAAUUUGGAGGCUUUGGAGCUGAAUGCUAUUAAUGUCGACGAGAUUUGGAAUGACAAUCAACUUGCGGCCAUGAUUACUUGCUUUCAAAGUUUGACACGAUUGAUAGUGUGGGGCUGUGACAAAUUAAAAUACAUAUUUUCAGCUUCUAUGAUCCAAAGCCUUAAGCACCUCCAACACCUGGAGAUACGGAUAUGUAUGGGUUUACAAGAGAUCAUCUCCAAAGACACAGCAGAUCAAGUGACCCCAUAUUUUGUCUUUCCACAAGUGACCACUCUGAAUCUCGAAGGUCUACCAGAACUCAGAUGUUUAUACCCUGGAAUGCAUACUUCAGAAUGGCCAGCACUAAAACAUUUGGAGGCCUGUAAUUGUGAUAAAAUAACGUUGUCCCAGAAUAACGAGAAUGAUCAAUUUGGUAUUCCGGCACAACAACCCCUGCUCUCGUUCAAGAAGGUAUGAAACCAAAUUUUAGAUUUUUUUUAUCAAUUAUCUUUGUUGUUCCUCACUCACAGGUUUAAUAAAUACCUAUAUGGAGUUUUUUUCAAGUGGGAAUGCCCUUAUUUUUUACUUUUUUCAUGCGGAGAAGCUUUCAAAUCCCACAGUUUAAGAGCGUGUGUAUAUAUAUAUAUAUAAUCAUUCUCAGGUGUGGGGGGUUCGUAUUUUUUUUAAUGUGGACACGCUUUUAAACCGUACGGUUUAAGAGAGUUAGUUUUUUAAUGAAUUAUGAAGCCAUGCAGUUUUAGAGAGUUAAAAAUUAACUUUUUUAAACCAUGGGGUCUAAAAAUUGGUCCACAAGAAAAAAAAAUGAGGAUGUCCGCAUUAGAGAAGGAAUAUAUAUAUAUAUAUAUAUAUAUAUAUUAGUUAGAUCAUUGAAAACUUUGAUUACACAAUGAAUUUUGCCAGUCUUGAAUUAUGGAUCAAUGUGCUAAGUUAAUAAUUUGAGCUCGAUGAUGAUCAGAUCUUACCCAACUUGGAGGAACUGGCAUUAAGUGGAAAAGACAUCACGAUGAUUUUGCAAGGCGAUUUCCCACAACACCUCUUUGGCAGUCUUAAACUACUACAGGUUGGGGAUGAUGACUUAGCUUGCUUUCAACUUGGUUUACUUGAGAGGUUUAACAAUCUGAAACUUCUCUUCCUGUCGGAUUGUUCGUAUGAAGUGGUAUUUUCAAAUGAAGGAUAUUUGGAGAAACAUGGGAGGAAGUUGGCACUGAUAAAAAAGUUAAACCUGACCAGACUUAAUCGUCUGCAGCAACUGUGGAAACGUGACUCCAAACAGCUGGACUUCAUUUUUCAACAUCUUGAAAUUCUAAGAGCAUAUCACUGUCAAAAUCUGUUAAGUCUAUUGCCAUCAUCAUCGGUAUCUUUUCGGAAUCUCGCACAUCUGCAAGCUUUUGCUUGCAAGAAAUUGAUGAACUUAGGAACAUGCUCCACAGCAAAAAGUCUGGAGCGACUCUUAUCAUUGAAGGUAUUUGGAUGCACAGCAAUGACAGAAGUCGUAGUAUGUGACGAAGAUGAAACAGCAAAUAUAAAAGAAGAGAUUGUUUUCAGCAAAUUGAUUACAUUGUCCCUGUUUGAUUUAGAUAGUCUCACAAGCUUCUCCUCUGCCAAUUACACCUUCAAAUUCCCAUGUUUGCAAGAUUUGUCGGUGAUUGGUUGUCCCAAGAUGAAGAUUUUCACCAAAGGAGAAUCAACCACGCCUCCGAGAGUAAACGUCUGGUACGGAAGGAGUGAGGACAAACUGCGUUGGUCUAAUAAUGACCUUAACACAAUCAUACAACAAUUACAUCAAGAAAAGGUACGGGUAACUGUUAGAAUAUUUGUUAUUAAUGAGUGAAUUUUUAAUCACGUUUAUAUAUGAGAAUCUUAUUAAAUUCCUCGAAAAUUCAUUAAUCAUUAGUUUUAAUUUCAUAAUAUGAAUUUUAAUUUAAAUUCAUAAAUGCGAAUUUUAUUUUCAGCUGUUGGAGGGUUCGUCUCCUUACUCGUCGCAGUACUGAUCUCAUACGCCUUCAGUACUUGGCGAGCUGUCAAUUUGAAGAAUAAGGUAUUUUAUUUUUAGAAAAGGAAUUUUAUUCUCCUUGAAAAUAUCAUUCAAAGUGACAACAUUUUCAUGUGGAAAGCCUUCAGAUCUUUUUUUUUUUUCCCCUGUUUUAAUCGAGGGGUCUGUCAAAUUUAGUUUUUAAAUGAGAAUAAUUUUUAUGGGCCAUUUCACAUUGAGAAAUUAGUUUUUUCCUAAAGUGAUCACAGUAAGAACAUAAAAAAUAAUGAUCCAAUACAUUACCACAAAAUUAAUCUCGGUUAGUCAGGUUAUAUGAAAAUUUUUCAAAAUAAAUAUGAAGAAGAUUGAGGUCACUCCUCUGUGUUUGCAGCAUCAGAAAUAAGAGCUACUUUUCUGUGAAACUCGUGCUCCGUCCUUUGAAGUUAAGCUUACAUUCUGAGGGUAUUCACUCUACUGUAUCACUACAUGCAGCUUUGAAAGUGUUACAUUAACCCGCCGCUAUUAAGUUCAAAAACGAUGUAUCAAUUUACCAUUGGUCUGCACUGCUUCUUGUAAUAUGUGAAAUAAAUUUCCAGUUUAUUUUGACAUUUUGAAUAUAAAUUCUUCUGAAUUUUCAGCCAAAGGUUUGGUAGUUGUUCUGAUUUAUCUUCAGUUUCAUUUUGUGAUCACAGAAACGUUAGGAUUUGCAUGCAUGAAAGCACAUUAAAUCAUAGAAAUUUUGUCAGACAUCCAUGCAAAUGAAAUUUUAUCAGCAAUCUUAUAAUUUUCUGUUAUUGUUGUCGUUGUCAUUAUUCUAUUGCUGGUACUGUUUGAAAUUUCUAGUAUUUUAGAUGUGAAAUUUAUUAUAUUAGGUAUUCAAGGUAUAUAUAUGAUGCUGAAUACAGGGCUUCUGUUGUCUAAAUUUGUUUUAUUUUGUUUGCUUCACAUCUAAUUUUCAAAAACUAUUGAAGAAUGCUGAGAGAAUGAACAAUUGGUCUAAAGAAUCAAAUGCAAUAUUGCUAUUAGUUUGUUGAUUGCCAUCAUUGCUGUUCUGUUAUUUUAAUUUUUGCCCUGUUUGUUCUGUUUCCCUGUUUGCUUCACAUCUAUCUUCCCUAACUUAGAAGGCAAGGAAUUUGUACUCGAAAACGAAUAGCAGUUGCACAAAAUGUGGCAACCACACCAAAUAAUCAAUUUGUUGAGAAAUUUUGAAAGCUUUACUUGAUAAAAAUUUGAAAGUUUUGAAAAGGAUUCAGGUCGCUCUUUUGUGCGGCCUCUGGAAUAAGAGCUGUGUCGCUGUUGAAAAGUUUACAUGCUGACUUGCUGAGGGGCUUCCAUCAUCACCGUUUCACUACAAGGUUAAGGCAGCUUCAAGUUGUUGGGUUUGGUGAACCAAGUUGUGUACAGGAUUCGCUUAUGAGGGCCUACGUGAUUGCAGACGAGCCUAAGCUUUUGUCUCUCCCUCUUCCAUCUCAACACACACAAUCUUCAUGUGGCUUUUGUUAGGAAAUUAGUGGGUGAAGUAGGACCGCAGCUAAAAUGAAAUUGUAAGAAAAUAAAGAACAAGCACAAUAGAGAUAUCAGAAAUUACGUGGUUCAGCUUUUAGCCUACGUCCACGGGCGAAAACAGAAGGAAAUAUUUUACUAGUGAAAAGGAGUUACAAGUAUUGUAGUAUUUUACCUCACUACCCAAAACCCCAAUACACCCAAACUCUCAAAUCACUAAGCACACGAAAUUCUUUGCUCUUGCAAGAAUCAUUUCUCAUAACUCUCAACUCUCUCUACAAAAUUGGAUGCUGAAAACCAAAUGAAGAGCUCUCUUUUUAUAGCCAAAAUUGGCUAUUAAAAUAAUAAUUAAUUUUUUUUCUUGUCAAAAUCGUUCCCCCUUUUCUUCUUCAAACUUCUUCUUUUUCCAUUUUCUUCAUUCCAAAUUUACUGCUGCCAAAUUCUUCUGCUUCUUCUUUGAACAAAAUUGUGCUGACAAUCUAGAUGGCUGCUUUAUACCAUCUAGAUGGCCACCUUAUUUGACAUUUCUCCCACUUGGAGAUUUAAAUGAGAAUUAAUUAAUUUCCACACCAUCCUUUCUGCUUCGCCAUAAUCAUGUUGUCUACGUUUCUGCUAGGCCACAAGAGGAUCUACUCCAGACAAAUUUAUCAGUAUUUAUCGGCUUGGUCAAAAUAUCUGCUAGGUUCUCCUUCGUAUGGAUUUUCUGUAAAUCUACACUUCCAUCUUCCACUACUUCUCGAACGAAAUGAUACUGAACUCCUAUGUGCUUUGUCCUGGAAUGAAAGGUUGGAUUCCUUGCAAUGUGCAAGGCACUCUGACUGUCACAAAACACAGGAAUUUUCUGUUGUUUGUGCCCGAGCUCCUUCAAUAACCUUUGUAUCCAAAUAGCUUCCUUGCAAGCUUGUGUAGCUGCCAUGUAUUCUGCUUCUGUUGUAGAUAAAGCCACAACAGUCUGCAGUUUCGAAACCCAGCUUACAGCUGCUCCCGCAAGUGUAAACACAUAACCAGUAGUAGAUUUUCUUUUAUCAAGGUCUCCUGCAAAAUCUGAAUCCACAUAGUUGCUGACAGUAAACUCUGAUCCUCCAUAACAUAAUACAACAUCUGAGGUUCCUCUGAUGUAUCUCAGAAUCCUCUUUACAGCUAUCCAAUGCUCUCCACCAGGAUUUGCCAUGUAUCGACUGAUUACUCCCACUGCUUGUGCAAUGUCCGGUCUAGUACAUAUCAUAGCGAACAUCAAACUUCCCACUGCUGAUGCAUACGGUACUCGAGACAUCUCCCUCCUCUCUGCUUCAUUGGUAGGACACAUACUUGAGGAUAAUUUGAAAUUAACAGGAAGUGAGGUAGAAAUUGACUUAUAAUCUUGCAUGUUGAAGCGCCGCAAGAUUUUCUUCAAGUAAUUCUUCUGCGAAAGCCAAAUCUUCCUGCUAUUUCUGUCUCGGUAAAUUUGCAUCCCUAGAAGCUUGUUUGCUGGUCCCAAGUCCUUCAUUUCAAACUCUCUAGCCAACUGUGCCUUUAAUUCUUGGACUCGAUCUUUGUUGGGACCUGCUACCAACAUGUCAUCCACAUACAACAGCAAAAUAAUGAAAUCAUUAUCUUCAAACCUCUUGUAAUAUGCACAAUGGUCUAAACUGAGUCUGUUGUAUCCAAGGCUCAUGAUGAAGGAAUCAAAUCUCUUAUACCAACACCUCGGCACCUGUUUGAGACCGCAUAGAGAUUUGUUCAACCUGCAAACCAAGUUCUCCUUUCCUGUUUCUGCAAAACCUUCUGGUUGGAGCAUAUAUAUUUUUUCUUUAAGUUCUCCAUGAAGAAAUGCAGUUUUCACAUCUAACUGCUCUAUAUGUAAGUCAAAUGUAGCACACAUCGCCAAAACUACUCUGACUGUUGUGAGUCGAACCAGCGGAGAAAAUAUCUCGUUGAAGUCAAUACCUUCUUUCUGAGCAUAUCCUUUCACCACCAAUCUUGCACGACACCGCUCCACUUGGUCAUUGCCAUCACGUUUGAUCUUGUAGACCCAUUUGUUACCAACGGCUUUUCUUCCACGUGGUAGUGGUACAAGUUUCCAUGUCUUGUUCUUGUGUAGAGCUUCAAUUUUUUCCUGCAUUGCCGUCAUCCACAAAGCAACAUCUGAGUUGUUUAAAGUUUCAUGGAAAGUUGAAGGCUCUCCAUCCUCUGUUAGAAGACAGUAUGCAACGUUGAUCUCUGUGACAUAGUAUGCAACAUUGAUCUCUGUGACAUACUCCGAGUGCCACGUUGGUGGUCGUCUCUCACGAGUUGACCGACGAACUUCUGGAGCCUCAGACUCGACUGGUUCUUAUUCCUCGUGCUCUGGUGCUGCUUCAGAAGAAUCUGAAUCUUCUAGAUUAUUUUUCACAUAUACUGGCACAGUCUCUGACUUUUCUUUUACAGUGCCAUCACCUCCAUCUUUCAUUUGCAGUUGAUCUUCUACAAAAAUAACAUCUCUGCUGAUGACGAUUUUGUGGGCAGUGGGGUCCCACAAACGAUACCCCUUUACUCCAUCAGCAUAUCCCAAGAAGAUACAUCUUCUAGAUUUUGCAUCUAGUUUUGUUCUUUCUUGGACAUUGUACAUUACGUACACAAGACAUCCAAAUGCAUGUAGGUAGGAAUAAUCAGCUGGCUUUCCAGUCCACAUCUCCAUCACUGUCUUCAGCCCAAUAGCUGUAGAUGGCGAUCGAUUUACUAUAUAACAAGCAAUUUUGGCUGCUUCUGCCCAGAAUGAAUUGGGUAGACCAGCAAUCCUCAACAUAGCUCUUAUUCUUUCUGUAAGAGUUCUGUUCAUCCGCUCUGCCACUCCAUUUUGUUGAGGAGUGUAUGCCACCGUGAACUGCCUCUGGAUACCUUCUUACUUACAGAAAGCAAGAAACUCGCCGUCUGUAUACUCUCCACCAUUAUCCGUCCUCAAGCACUUGAUUUUUUACCAAAUUCAAGUUCCACCCGCGCUUUGUAUUCUUUAAACACUGGAAAUACAUCUGACUUUUUCUUAAUUGGAUACACCCAACAUCUUCUGGAAUAAUCAUCAAUGAAAGUCACCAUGUACUUUGCAUCUCCCAUGGAUAUAUCCGGUGAUUCCCAAACAUUAGAAUGAAUCAAGUCUAGAAUGCAUUUACUUCUAGCAAUAGAUCUACUGAAUUUUAAUCUAUGCUGCUUACUUGUAACAUAAUGCUCGCAAAAUGGUAAACUUACCGAUUUGAGCCCCGGAAGCAAUUUUCGCUCAGAGAGAAUCUUCAAGCCUUAUUCUGACACGUGACCAAGUUUGAGAUGCCACAUCAUCGUUGACUCUUCUCCAUUUGAUGUGACACACGCAUCAGCCUCCUGUAGUGUUUCUCCUUUAAACAUGAAUAGAUUAGCACCGAUCUUUUCUGCCUUCAUCAAUACAAGCGCUCCUUUAACGAUCUUCAUAAUUCCAUUCUCCACAUGAGUUUUAUACCCAUGACUAUCCAUUUGUCCCAAAGACAAAAGAUUUUUCUUCAGGCCGUUGACAUGUCGUACCUCCCCAAUUGUGCGAAUUGUACCAUCAAACAUUUUUAUUUUGAUAGUACCAAUACCAGCGAUCUCCAAGGCAUGAUCAUUACCUAUAUAUACAGAUCCUCCUGAGAUAGGUUCAUAUGUGUGGAACCACUCUCUCUGAGAGGUCAUGUGCCAGGUAGCUCCUGAGUCUAUAAGCCAGACAUCAGAAAGUCAUUUUCUGCCUUCUGAAACAGUUGUUGCUUCGCUGUAGAGAAUUUCGACAUCAUCUGAGGUACUUGCUACACACCCCUGAGCAUUUGAUGACUCAGGUUCUUUACCCUCUCUUCUCUUCUGGUUACUCCAACACUCCUUUUUGACGUACCCUUUCUUACCACAGUUGUAGCAUUUAACAUUCUUCUUACUUAUGGAUUUUGAUCUACCAUGAUUUUGACUCCCACUGGGGCCACGUUCCGUUGAUCUCCUUCUCGUCACCGAUAGCGCCUCCGCUUGCUGCGAACUUGCUUGUCUGUUUUCCUUAUUUUUUCGCCUGCUCUCCUCAUUUAAUAUGGAGGCUGCAAUAUCGUCGAAAACUAGACUGUCCACUAGAUUGUUCUUCGUCAGGUUGAUGAUGAGCUGAUCAUACGAAUCUGGUAGACUUUGAAGUAGAAGCUCUGCACGUUCAUUCUUCUCUAUAUUAUGACCCAACGUUGUGAGUUGUAAAAAUAGAGUCUUCAAGGUGUUGAUGUGGUUGGUUACCAUUGUAGAUUCCGCCAUUCGAAGAGUAUAGAGUUUCCUCUUCAAGAAGAUUUUGUUGUGUAGUGACUUGGCCUCGUACAAUUUUGUAAGAGUAUUCCAUAUUUCCUUCGCUGUAUUUUUCUCUGCCACACUGGAUAAUACUCCAUCUACAAGUGCCAAGUGUAGAUCUGAAAUGGCGGUGCCAUCUAUCUCGUUCCACUUGUCAUCAGUUAUCUCCAUGGGCCUUUCUCCAAUUCCUGCCAAGCAAUUAUUUUUCCUCAAUACAGCUUUCAUCUUAAUUUUCCACAACGAAAAGUUAUUUCCGUUAAAUUUCUCAAUUUCAUACUUUGUCGCCAUUUUGUUGAUAAAUAUUGUACACAAACUAGUGUAUCACCUUGAAUAGUUGUGAGUAUGUGUGAACAUGCACACUAAGAAAGUUCCUAGGAAAAACUGGAGGGGUCACAAUGAUCCCACUUAAAACCCAGACUCCUUAAGCUGUUAUCACCUUUGUGACGGAACUUUCCUAGACAUGUACAAAACCACACAGUUGUUUUACUCACACCACUAUUCCCUGCUUAACACCGUAAAAUUCUUGGAUCGCUCCCACCGUUUUACAUGAAUAGUACCGGAUACGUGAACAGUACCGUAUACGUGAACAGCAUCGUACACGUGAAUAGUACCGUAUAUGUGAAUAGUACCCUUACGUGAAUAGUACCCGACUCCAAAAAUACAACCAAUAGCUCUGAUACCACUGUUAGGAAAUUGGUGGGUGAAGCAGGACCGCAGCUAAAAUGAAAUUGUAAGAAAAUAAAGAACAAGCACAAUAGAGGACACCAGAAAUUACGUGGUUCAGCUUUUAGCCUACGUCCAUAGGCAAAAACAAAAAGAAAUAUUUUACUAGUGAAAAGGAGUUACAAGUAUUGUAGUAUUGUAGCUCACUACCCAAAAUCUCAAUACACCCAAACUCUCAAAUCACUAAGUACACAAAAUUCUUUGCUCUUGCAAGAAUCACUUCUCACAACUCUCAACUCUCUCUACAAAAUUAGAUGCUGAAAACUAAAUGAAGAGCUCCCUUUAUAUAGCCAAAAUUGGCUAUUAAAAUAAUAAUUAAUUUUUUUUCUUGUCAAAAUCGUUCCCCUUUUUCUUCUUCAAACUUCUUCUUUUUCCAUUUUCUUCAUUCCAAAUUUACUGCUGCCAAAUUCUUCUUCGUCUUCUUUGAACAAAAUUGUGCUGACCAUCUAGAUGGCUGCUUUAUACCAUCUAGAUGGACACCUUAUUUGACAGCUUUUGCCCGUCAAUCCGCUUGCUCCAGCUUGCUGAAUUUGUAAAACAACUACUAGAAUUAUGAUCAGUGAUCACUGUCAGAUUGAUUGGAUUAAUUAUAAUUACAGAUCAAACGGUUGAAAUUCAAUUUAACAGAUACACACGCCUUGACGCGUUCCCAAGUUUCGGCAACGGUGAGAGGACAGUGUUCCUUGACUAUGGCAAACAUAACCCUCGUAAUUCAUCUUUGGUUUUGGCUUCGUUGACAAAAAUCUCACAAACAAUCUGCCUUCAAGCAACAACACAACUCCCACUAAAUGUAUUUUUUACACUCUCAAACGCACCGUUUUUAUUUUUGUUAUAAAUUUGACGCUGCCAUUUUUUUUUUUUGACGGGCAUGGCUUUUCCUUUUAAGCCUUUCCUUUUAUCUUUUAUAGCCAUCUUCCAUAUUAUUAGGAGGAGUCGUUUUCACUUUUUUUAAGAAAUUUUGAUCACAUUAAACUUUUGAUCUGAAUUCAUAACAAAAAUUAAAACAGUGCAUGAUGAGAUCAUGGUGAAUACGGUAGUUCAUAAAAAAUGUUGUUCUUCUUCCAAGUAAUCUUAUCAUUUCUCUCAUUUUAUUCGUUUUCCUCUUUUGAAGUCUUCAAUCUUAUACUCAGUAAGUAUAUUAAACUGCUUUUUCACUUCAGUUCCAGACAAUCGAGAGGGUGCUUUGCCCUACUCUCUAGUUUUAUCAAAAGACACUAUAUUUUCGAAACCUAUGAUUUGUUGGUAAAAAUCGACGGUGAUCCAUGUGACAAAAUUUUCUACUAUGUAUUAGAUCUAGUGUUUUGCUGGCAAACAAGACAUGCUUAAUUGCUUAUUUACCUUUAAUACUCCACCCAGACAAGUUGGCAAUGCUAGAAAGUUGACUGAUAGUCCAUAACAAUGUUGCGUGUAACUUGAACAUUUGAUUACGUGAUGCAGUGUAUCAUUCCAACCAUAUCAUCAUCAGCCACUUCCCUUAUAACGAAAUAUAGAUUACAACACUUCUUAAAAGGACAAUAAAUUCUUGUGCCACCAACAACAUUCUCAAAUGUAAAAUCUAUAAAUUUUUCAACCCCAUCAGUAGGGGUGGGCAUGGGUUGGUUUGGGUUGGAUUUUAAGUCAACCCAAACCAAACCAUAAAAAUUAAGAUCCAAUCCAAACCAACCCAAAUAUUUUUAACCCAACCCAAACCAAAUCAUUUGGGUUUGGUUUGGGUUUGGUUUGAAUUUUAUUAUCAAAAUAAUUUUUAUUUUAAUAAAAUUUAAUUAUAUCAAAAUUAUAAUAAUUAUUAAUUGUUAUUAAUUAUUAAAUUGAUAUUAAAAUAUAAAAAAAUAUAGUGGAUAAAAAUUAUAAAUUUUACAAUAACUUAAUCCUUAAAUUAAAGAAUACUAGAAAAUUAAAAUAAAGUUUAACACACAAAAAUUAUUAUUUCUCAAUAAAUAAGAACAUACACUUUAAUAAUAAACUUUCACAAACAUGACAUUAACAAUCUAAUAAUAAAUUUUACCACUUAUUAUUUAUUUAAUUAUGCAAUAUUUGAUUUUAUUUAUCGUUUUGGUAGUUUUGCGUUAUGUUGUCUACUUAUAUGCUUAAAUUUAGGGAGAUUGUCAUUUUCCCCCUACAGUAAUCAACAUAUAUCAUUUUUCCCCCUUAUGUUUUUAUAAUGGCCAAAAACCCCUCUAAUAGCAUAAGUUUACAAUAUUACCCUUAUUUUCAACUACUCUUUUAUUUAUAUUUAUUAUAAAUUAAAUAAAUCACAUGAAUAGAAACUAAAUAAAAAAUAAAGCAUUAAAAAUAAGAAAUAUAUGUUUUGAUAUGAACAAAAAAAUUAAUAAUAAAAUUUUUUUAUACUUAAUCACAUGAAUAGAAACUAAAUAAAAAAUAAAGCAUUAAAAAUAAGAAAUAUAUAUUUUGAUAUGAACAAAAAAAUUAAUAAUAAAAUUUUUUUAUACUUAUUUAUUUUGUGAAAAUUUUCUUAUAAUAAAUAUAUAAGAAAAAUAUUAGUAAAAUGAUAAAAAAAAUUAUUAUAAGAAAACUUGAAUGACAAAUAAAAAUUUAUUAUAAGAUAAAUAAUAAAAUAUUUUACCUAUUUGUGUUCAUUUAUUUUGUUUUCAUUUAUUUCAUUUGAAAAAUUUGAGUGUUGGGGUUUUAUUCAUAACACAUGGGUAAACCAUACCCAACCCAUAAUGAAAUGGUUUUCUAUAUAAAACCCACAUCUAACCCAUUUUCAUAAUUUACCUAACCCAAACCAUUUAAUUUGGUUUGGGUUUGGGUAAACCCAUGGGUUGUGGGUUUAUGCCCACCCCUACCCAUCAGUAUAUGACUUGGAUUUCUAUUUGGCAAACCAACCCAACACUUGUCCAUGACUGUCUCCUUUUAAUGCGCUACAAAUAUUAGUUAAAUAAAUCAUUUUAGUUCUUGAUUUCUACCAGGGGUGGGCAUUUUACCCGACCCGAUCCGAAAAAUUUCAGGUUCGGGUCGGAUCGGGUUGUUACUAAAACCCGAUCGGGUGAAAAAGUUAACCCGAUCGGGUCACCCGAACCAGAAUACCCAAUCGGGUCACCUAAAAAAAAAAACAGAUUACACACACCACAACCACUCACUCACAGUCACACGCACAGAAUCACAACUGUGAAUUCAUAGUCUAAGUCUCAACUCUCACACACAAAGUCACAAGAUUCACAACUCACACACUCACAAGUCACGGACUCACGGCCUCACACACAGUCACACACACAGGCCAACCGCCACACCACAACCACUCCACUCUCCAGUCUCCACGGAACAUAGAGCACACAUAGCAGCCACUCACGCACACAGGCCAUAGCCAAUCAGCCACGUCGCGAUCUGCUGCCUAGUGCCCACUGCCGCGAUCUGCUGCCCACAUCCUGCUGCUGCGAUCUGCCCACUUCUUGCUGCAGUGAUCUGCUGCCUCGAUCUGCCCACUUCCUACAGCCGUGAUCUGUUGCCUUGAUCUGCUGCCGCCUGCCGUGUUCCACCGUCGGCCGAUCUGCUGCUCCAAGCCUCCAAGCCCAAGGCCGAAGCUUCCAAGUUCCAACCGGACCAACCCGACUCGAGUUUCUCCCACUCUCACCCGAACCGAUUUGAAGCUUUGACUUUCAAGUUUCAAUUUCAAUCUUUCAUGGUAUAUUAUAUAGUUAUAUAUGCUUCUUAGUUAUUGCUUAAUUGGUUAUUUAUUAUGUAAUUGAUUAUUGUUUAAUUGUUGUAAAUUUGUAAUUAUGUAUUUUUAAAUGUUAGUAAUAAAAUCAAAAAAAUUGAUGUUUUUAUGAUUUUGUUAUGAAUAAAUUUUUAUUAAUUG
Molecule: long non-coding RNA, 37783 nt
Filed under: Citrus maxima (pomelo)
Lineage: Eukaryota; Viridiplantae; Streptophyta; Magnoliopsida; Sapindales; Rutaceae
Description: long non-coding RNA (CMAX_LNC000098)
Source: RNAcentral